Branchiostoma belcheri (Belcher's lancelet) is the source of this 441-nucleotide long non-coding RNA. RefSeq lists it as uncharacterized. The transcript is spliced from 3 exons. Lineage: Eukaryota; Metazoa; Chordata; Leptocardii; Amphioxiformes; Branchiostomatidae. The record is from RefSeq and is a predicted model, not a curated record.
UUUUGAUCCCGUGAUUUGUACGUCGGUGAGCAACAAGAGCGGUCUGGAUAUUUUUCUCUGUACAACUGACAUCCCCGGCUAGGUGGUUAGUGGGGCAACAAGACUCAUACCCGACGUCGGGACUACCACUGAUUUUAACCACCGUAUUUUUGUCUUGUGACAGCAAAAGAUUGCAACCCGACAUGCUUUGAUCUAGCGGAGAAAUGCUCUGUUGAGGUUUGGCGGGCUUGUAAGACGCGGUGCGGACCCGUCUAGACGGGCGGAGGCGUGACAGAAAAGGGCGCUAGGAAAGAAGCCAUUGCAUGGGCAGAAGUCAUCGCUUGGAAUCUUUAAUCAUCGUAGAGAAGCAAGCAGACUGAAGAAAACAGCAGUGAAGUCAGCGUGUGUACAUACAGAACUGAUAAUGGAUGACGGCAUUCCUACAAAGUGGCUGUACUGUGC